UGGGGAAUAUUGGACAAUGGGCGAAAGCCUGAUCCAGCAAUGCCGCGUGAGUGAUGAAGGCCUUAGGGUUGUAAAGCUCUUUUACCCGGGAUGAUAAUGACAGUACCGGGAGAAUAAGCUCCGGCUAACUCCGUGCCAGCAGCCGCGGUAAUACGGAGGGAGCUAGCGUUAUUCGGAAUUACUGGGCGUAAAGCGCACGUAGGCGGCUUUGUAAGUUAGAGGUGAAAGCCUGGAGCUCAACUCCAGAAUUGCCUUUAAGACUGCAUCGCUUGAAUCCAGGAGAGGUGAGUGGAAUUCCGAGUGUAGAGGUGAAAUUCGUAGAUAUUCGGAAGAACACCAGUGGCGAAGGCGGCUCACUGGACUGGUAUUGACGCUGAGGUGCGAAAGCGUGGGGAGCAAACAGGAUUAGAUACCUGGUAGUCCACGCCGUAAACGAUGAUAACUAGCUGUCGGGGCUCUUAGAGCUUCGGUGG
Molecule: ribosomal RNA, 473 nt
Filed under: uncultured Pseudomonadota bacterium
Lineage: Bacteria; Pseudomonadati; Pseudomonadota
Description: bacterial SSU rRNA
Rfam family: Bacterial small subunit ribosomal RNA
Source: RNAcentral